RNAcentral lists this long non-coding RNA (1154 nucleotides) under Anas platyrhynchos platyrhynchos (common mallard). RNAcentral's name for it is "lncRNA (ENSAPLG00000017256.1)". Lineage: Eukaryota; Metazoa; Chordata; Aves; Anseriformes; Anatidae. The record is from RNAcentral.
CAUAGUUUCUUCUUCCCUCUUCUGAGGAAGGGGAAUAAGAGCCAUAAAGUCCUUUUUGAUCACUCCUGGGCCUCGCUUUGGUGCCUCAUCACUGCCAACUUGAAAAACCAAUGAAGAGUAAUAAUCAGAGGGGUGUACCAGGUGAGUGACUUUCUGAGCAACGUUUCUUACCUAUGCCCCAGGGAGACAUCAGACUUCCCUAUGGAUUGGGUGUGGAUGACAAAUUGGGCCCUUGGUUCCCUUCAGAAGGGAGACCCCUAUGACUAUAACCUUUUAUUUAUUUAUUUAUUUAUUUAUUUAUUUAUUUAUUCUUCAGAUAGUAUAGCAGUGAUUUCUAUUCAGUUAUGUUUUCUUUUUUUCUAUGACACAUGUUCCCAUUGAUCAACACCAUGCCCAUCUGGUCUAGUUGAUACCAGCAUCAUAAACUCAGAAAAAUAGGAUACCCACUUUAACUUUUUGGGGCCCUAGCUGUCCAGCUUUGCAAGCUUCUAAUGUCCCUACCCUGUUUAAUCAGAUGGCAGCCAAUUCAGAAGUCAUAUCAUAUCUUGUACUUAGUUAUUUUUUUCUCCAGUACCUGGUUGCUUGUCCUAUUUGGACACCACUAAGCUGCUAUAAAAGUUUGGUCCUGAGAUAUGAUGAGUUUAAUUUGGAUGUCAACAUUUGUCUAAAUUAAUUUGAAUUUAAUUUUUAAACAUGAAACACUAUUUAAGACUUACAACUAUGUUUUAAAUGAGAAAAUACAGAUCAUGCAAGUUUUUCUAACCUGGAAUAUAAGUCUGGAAAAGACCUUGAGACCUCAUCUGGUCCAUCACAAAGCUAAACAGUACAUCAGACAAAAUAAAUUAGAACAAUUCAGAAGCUUUGAGAAUCUCCAAACAAUGUCACUUCUGCUAGAGACACUCCCAGAGAAAAGGAAGGCCCAUUCUUCAAUGUCUUUACAAGUAGAACAAGAUGCAGAAAUGAACAAAUUGGCUACAGGAAGCAAGUCUGUCUUUAUAAAGACAUAGAUUAUACAAACUUACUUCUACAACUACAGCUUUAUCUUCCCACAUUUUACAUUUUAGGGUAGAAAUUCCAGUGGCUGGUUAAAACAGUACAAUAUCUGGGAUAACUGUUAUAAUAAACCUGAACUUUUGAUUAAAUUAACUCUUGAC